Molecule: ribosomal RNA, 466 nt
Filed under: uncultured bacterium
Lineage: Bacteria
Description: partial 16S ribosomal RNA
Rfam family: Bacterial small subunit ribosomal RNA
Source: RNAcentral
GACGAACGCUGGCGGCGUGCUUAACACAUGCAAGUCGAACGGAAAGGCCCUGCUUGCAGGGUACUCGAGUGGCGAACGGGUGAGUAACACGUGGGUGAUCUGCCCUGCACUUCGGGAUAAGCUUGGGAAACUGGGUCUAAUACCGGAUAGGAGCCAUCUUUAGUGUGGUGGUUGGAAAGUUUUUUCGGUGUAGGAUGAGCUCGCGGCCUAUCAGCUUGUUGGUGGGGUAAUGGCCUACCAAGGCGGCGACGGGUAGCCGGCCUGAGAGGGUGUACGGCCACAUUGGGACUGAGAUACGGCCCAGACUCCUACGGGAGGCAGCAGUGGGGAAUAUUGCACAAUGGGCGCAAGCCUGAUGCAGCGACGCCGCGUGGGGGAUGAAGGCCUUCGGGUUGUAAACUCCUGUCGCUAGGGACGAAGCGUUUUUGUGACGGUACCUAGAUAAGAAGCACCGGCUAACUACGUG